This 1912-nucleotide long non-coding RNA is filed under the name Betula platyphylla (Asian white birch). The record is from RNAcentral. Lineage: Eukaryota; Viridiplantae; Streptophyta; Magnoliopsida; Fagales; Betulaceae.
UACACGUUAUAAGAAUUUUAGCAAUCUUGAUAAUGGCAAGUGAGAUCACAUUCCUCAGGAGAUGCAAUGAGAAUAUAAAUAUAAAAAUAAUAGAGAUGAAUAUGAAAGAUCAUUGAGAAGCAUCAAUCGAGGAUUAUGCUACAUCCAAGGAGAGAUCUCUCAGCCUUCCACUUCAGUUACAGACUGCACUGGCUCCACUACUGGAGGUAUGCAAUCCACCUUGUAGCGAAGCACCUUCUUAAAAAAGGUUGAAUACGAAUUGUCCCAAAUCAACUUAUAGUUUCCGACCAUACAUGUGCAGAAGUUUCCUUGGUCAGACUCAUAGCGCUGGUAAGGUAAUAUCAGAACUUUUUCCCCAGAAGAAUUUGUAAACUCCACACUAAAUCCAAUAUCCAUGUUUAUCUUGCCUUGCACCAAUGAGAAAUCCCAAGCGAUGUACGAGUUUAUUGAGUCCACAGUCAAAGAAACCUCAUAAGUUUUUCCAGCUGCAACACUUAUCUCUUUGUGUUCAUCACUUUUCCUUGUUUCUAAUGCACCAGUAGUGUCUGCUGAUAUUAAGAAUGGUGAAUUUGCGAAGACCUCACCCAUAAAUUUGAUGAACCUCUCAAACUCAGUGGUGUAGACAUCAAUAGCUUGUUCCAAGAAAGCAACAUGUUGCCUCUUUAAAUUUCCAUCGUCAAACCGCCCCCAUAAUACCAAAACAAAAAGUCGAAUAUAAAUCACCAUCGUUGUAAGGCUAUAUAAAGGUGGUCCAUAACGUUGUCGUUGCUCUUCCAUGGGCCCUUCGUCAUCAUUUAUUUUCCGAAUAAAAUCUAGCAAGACCUGUGGAACUCCAACCAAAUACUUCACAAGGGUUUUGUAGACACCUGUUGCGGAACCAAGUUGAGCUAACUGUCUCCUCCUUUCCAUUUGUUGUUUCCACAAUAGAGCAUAUCGAGCGCGUAUACUUCCACCAGAAUUGACCAAAGCAUCAAUCUCCGCUUGCUUAUUCCUCUCUGAGCGCUCCCGUUGUUGUCUAAUUAGUGUUCCCCGAAAAUCUUGAGGCAUGUAAGUCAUAACUGUAUUAAACACACGGUCAGAAUUCUUGGAUUGGAACAAUUCCAAAAUCUUCAAAGCGUUUUGAAGUUUAUCUUUGAGGUGUCUGAGAACAGUAGCAAGCUCAGCAUCAUCAGGUGUUGACUGCUGCUGAAGCACCACUGGCCAAUGAGAGGUUUCAAGUAAAAAAAGAAUUUCUUCAAUGUGUUCUCGAUUCUUCCACAUGUUCUCAUCGAUUUUAUGUGGAGGCUGACGGUCUGCUUCAUCCAACAAUAAUCUUUCAUCUUCAGUGGGAGGAAGAUGGUUGAGCAAAUCGUCAGCCAUCGAGCGAAUCUCGGAGGAAAGGCGAGAAACGUCAUCGGACGGAGGUGCAAAUGGGUACUUGUCGUAAUAAGAAGCCAGAUAACUCCUGGUUAUCGGUACCAGACCGUCGGUAGAAGCCAUUUCUUAUUUCUUAUCUCUUUAAUUUUCACAAUUUGAAUAAGGACUUUUUGCCGGAUCGACCGGAGAGAACGCCUAUCAAUUCCCUCUCACCACAUUCUUUACAUCAACAAGGACUCAAGGAGCACCGAAACAACGGUUUUGGAAGAGGAAAGUAAGUCGACGCCACUGCGUGCGGUACAUCUGAGACGUGGGCCCUCUUCAAUUUCUUUCCAAUGGCAAGAGUCAAGGCCUUUUACGCUACAACAUGAGUGCUGGCAUGGGGCAUCCUCGGAAGAAUAUCUGAUAGGUAUGCAGUGUUGGCGUGCAAAGAACGGAACAUUAUGGGUUCGGAUGAGGGGCGCCCGGAAAAUGUACGGAGUGCGGCGAGGUUUAUGGCGACGUGCUUGAUCGGAGGGGUGGUUGUGGGGGUCUCGCUGUUGGGCCUAUCUCAGCU